Molecule: long non-coding RNA, 372 nt
Organism: Argentina anserina (silverweed cinquefoil)
Lineage: Eukaryota; Viridiplantae; Streptophyta; Magnoliopsida; Rosales; Rosaceae
Exons: 3
Source: RefSeq, a predicted model, not a curated record
UUGUAGUUACGUUAUGAAUUUUAAUACUUCAGUUAUUUACAGUUCUUCAAUUCUCAGAUUUGUAAGCUUCUAUAGUGAGUGAAACUGAUUAUUUUCUGCUCAAGGGGAAUUGACAUACGAUUGAGAUAAAUCAUAUCUUCAGGCUUUAACGCUACUUCUCUGGGGAUUGCAUUUUGUCAUGUAAUCAGUAGGUAAAAUUCUUUGAUUAUUACGGGCAGAAACUGAAUUCUUCAGAUGUUGGUGUGUCUUGCAAAGGGACAUGCACUUUUUUCUCAAAGAAUAGCAAUUGGUAUCAUUAACAUCCUUGCGAUAGUAAUUUUCUUUUCAGGAGAUGCUUCUCAUAUUUGACUUUUAUAAUUGGUCUAUUAUCUU